GAGGUGACCUGGCAAUGCUCCUCCAGGGCACUCUGGGUAUGCUGGCUCCUGCGAUCUCUCCAAGUGCGGGAGACUCGAUUGCAUGGUCUGCGAUAGUGGGGAUAGCAUUUGAGCUUUCCUUU
This 122-nucleotide small nuclear RNA is filed under the name Microtus ochrogaster (prairie vole). RNAcentral describes it as "U1 spliceosomal RNA (ENSMOCG00000007349.1)". The record is from RNAcentral. Lineage: Eukaryota; Metazoa; Chordata; Mammalia; Rodentia; Cricetidae.